UGAGGCAAAGGAAUCAUAUGACUUUAGAAUUAUCGCAUCAAGGAGUAAGAAAAACGAAAACUUAUCUCACAGUGGAUUGCCCAAAAUUAUCAAUCCCCCACCAUGUAAGAGGAAACAAGAGAAACAGAGAGAGGGAGAAAGAAAUAAUUAGAAACUAGCAAAUAUACUUUACAGAUUACAAAUGGACACGAUAAGUAAGUUAAGAUGAAAUAAAGGGGAAGAUAACAAGGAACGGAAUAUAAAAGAGCAUUUCGAACCGAAUGAAACAUUUUAAGCCGAAUGUAUUGAAAUCGAAAUAUUUGAAUUGAGAGAUUUUUAUUUUAUCUGACUAAUGAUGAGAAAGGAUAGAAGAGAACAAAUAGAAUAGAAAUAGAACUAAAGAUAAAAAAUAUGAGAACCAAAAUAGCAAAACAAAAAAAGCUAAAUACUAGGUAAUUAAUAAAAAAAAAUUUAAAAAAGGAUUUCUAGUAAGCGUACUACUAAAACAAGUUUAAGGAUUUGAUGAAAGAUUGUAUGUUAGAAAAAUUUUCAUCCUCUUUUUUUUUUUUUUUUUCUUCAAACUUCAUACAAACGUAAAUAUCUCUCAAAUUUUGCAAUACCGUCCUCUUCUUCCUCGUCGAUUUAGAUCCGAAAUUCUCCUUGGCAGCAGGGGACGGAAAAUGAAAUAAAGUGUUUUAGCAAUUGGGAUCGCGAAACCACCUGCUAGAAAGUGUUUAGGAAGAGAGUCGCCGUUCGAAACAUAGCGAUAACGAGUUCAAGAGCAGUAUCCGUAAAUUCAGAGGAUUAGUGAGUGCCAACACUUCUUAUAGAUUACGGAUAGUAAGCAGUAGUAGAUGAAGGAUGAUGGAUAGGUGGAUGAUCGGGGUGGGAGAAAGUAGGGAGACAGAAGGAAAAUGGAAUGUAGCUAACUGAUAAUGAAGAGAGAGAGAGAAAGAUUAUUUCGUAGAUAAAAUUUGGUGAGCUUUGACAAGAUAAGUUUUGUUGGAAAAAUUAUGAAAGUAUGCAAGAGUGUGAAGAGUAAACAAAAAAGAAAAAGAGACGUUAUAAGAGGAAGGAUGAGUUUGAUGAUCUUUUAAUAUCUAACGAACAUAAAAAACUAAUGAAUGUAAUAAUUAAUAAAUGAAGCAAACUAGCGAAUGCAACACCACCUAUUGAUUGCUUUAUUUAUUUAUUUUUUUGCUUGACAAAUACCCUUUGGAUUUACUCACUAUCCAUCUUAUCCACCGUAGGGGCCAUAGUAGACUCGCCUUUCGGCAGCCUU
Schizosaccharomyces pombe (fission yeast) is the source of this 1261-nucleotide non-coding RNA. The record is from the annotation of a GenBank genome assembly. NCBI's taxonomy places the organism in Eukaryota, Fungi, Ascomycota, Schizosaccharomycetes, Schizosaccharomycetales, Schizosaccharomycetaceae.